RNAcentral lists this ribosomal RNA (855 nucleotides) under Salmonella enterica subsp. enterica. RNAcentral describes it as "partial 23S ribosomal RNA". The stretch from base 89 to 855 matches the Rfam family "Bacterial large subunit ribosomal RNA", at positions 568 to 1336 of the family's 2925-position model. The record is from RNAcentral. Lineage: Bacteria; Pseudomonadati; Pseudomonadota; Gammaproteobacteria; Enterobacterales; Enterobacteriaceae.
CCACCACUAAGCCAGUGGUGAACUCCACAUACGCAUCCUUUGCUGAGGAUACGGUUAACGGAGCGAAAGCGACGUUCAACCUCAAAAGAAGCAGAGGGGGCUUAGUGGUGGGGUGACUGCGUACCUUUUGUAUAAUGGGUCAGCGACUUAUAUUCUGUAGCAAGGUUAACCGUAUAGGGGAGCCGUAGGGAAACCGAGUCUUAACCGGGCGUUAAGUUGCAGGGUAUAGACCCGAAACCCGGUGAUCUAGCCAUGGGCAGGUUGAAGGUUGGGUAACACUAACUGGAGGACCGAACCGACUAAUGUUGAAAAAUUAGCGGAUGACCUGUGGCUGGGGGUGAAAGGCCAAUCAAACCGGGAGAUAGCUGGUUCUCCCCGAAAGCUAUUUAGGUAGCGCCUCGUGAAUUCAUCUCCGGGGGUAGAGCACUGUUUCGGCUAGGGGGCCAUCCCGGCUUACCAACCCGAUGCAAACUGCGAAUACCGGAGAAUGUUAUCACGGGAGACACACGGCGGGUGCUAACGUCCGUCGUGAAGAGGGAAACAACCCAGACCGCCAGCUAAGGUCCCAAAGUCAUGGUUAAGUGGGAAACGAUGUGGGAAGGCCCAGACAGCCAGGAUGUUGGCUUAGAAGCAGCCAUCAUUUAAAGAAAGCGUAAUAGCUCACUGGUCGAGUCGGCCUGCGCGGAAGAUGUAACGGGGCUAAACCAUGCACCGAAGCUGCGGCAGCGACACUGUGUGUUGUUGGGUAGGGGAGCGUUCUGUAAGCCUGUGAAGGUGUGUCGUGAGGCAUGCUGGAGGUAUCAGAAGUGCGAAUGCUGACAUAAGUAACGAUAAAGCGGGUGAAAAGCCCGCUCG